Molecule: ribosomal RNA, 253 nt
Filed under: uncultured bacterium
Lineage: Bacteria
Description: partial 16S ribosomal RNA
Rfam family: Bacterial small subunit ribosomal RNA
Source: RNAcentral
UACGAGGGAUGCAAGCGUUAUCCGGAAUUAUUGGGCGUAAAGCGUUCGUAGGUGGCUAAGUUAGUCUGUUGUUAAAACGUGGAGCUUAACUCCAUAUCGGCAAUGGAAACUGCUUGGCUAGAGUAUGGUAGGGGUAAGAGGAAUUCCCAGUGUAGCGGUGAAAUGCGUAGAUAUUGGGAAGAACACCAGCGGCGAAAGCGUCUUACUGGGCCAUUACUGACACUGAGGGACGAAAGCUAGGGGAGCGAAAGGG